UCCAAAUUUGAUCUCCACUCUUCAAGAGUAGAGUCACAAAGGAGCAUUUUCGCGCCAAUUUCAUCUUCAAUUUCUAGGGUUUCGCAUCACACAUUUUCUCCAUAGUCAAGUUUCAUUACGCAUUUUUCUACCAAUCCUGCGAGGAUUUUUUGAGAAUUCAGAGAUUUUGCCGAAUUUCUGGUGUUUUUCAGACUGAGACUUGUAGGGAACUAAGCUCUGCGCCUGGCCGCGAUUCAUGGGGUUAUAAAGCCUCAAACACACCAUAAACUUGAAGAUCAUUUGUGACUGCUGAAAUGAGAUGCAAUGCGUGCUGGCGGGAAUUGGAAGGGCGAGCCAUCUCGACCACCUGUGGCCACCUCUUGUGCUCGGAAGAUGCUAGCAAAAUCCUUAGUAGUGAUGCAGCAUGUCCCAUUUGUGAUCAAGUGCUCUCUAAGAGUCUCAUGAAACCUGUGGACGUCAAUCCAAAUGAUGAAUGGAUAAAUAUGGCCAUGGCAGGAGUAUCUCCCCAGAUAUUAAUGAAAAGUGCAUAUAGAAGUGUAAUGUUCUACAUUGGACAAAAGGAACUGGAGAUGCAAUACAAGAUGAACAGAAUAGUAGCCCAGUGCCGGCAGAAAUGUGAAAUGAUGCAAGAAAAAUUCACAGAAAAACUGGAGCAGGUGCAUACAGCAUACCAGAAAAUGGCCAAGAGGUGCCAGAUGAUGGAGCAAGAGAUUGAGACCAUGUCCAAGGACAAGCAAGAACUCCAAGAAAAAUUUUCUGAAAAAUCCAGGCAAAAGAGAAAACUUGAUGAAAUGUAUGAUCAGUUAAGAAGUGAAUAUGAGUCAAUGAAAAGAUCAGCUAUCCAACCCACAACCAAUUUCUAUUCAAGACCCGAGCCUGAUUUGUUCUCUAACCAACCCAAUAUCAUGGAUAACAGAGAUACAAUCAGAAAAGAUUGGUCGGUUUUCACUCCUGAAACUCCAGGACCUAAAGAGGAUAUAUGGACUGCAAGACAGAAUAGCUCUAAUUCUGGUGGCCCUUUUGAGGUCUCUGGUGGCUCACCAAUGAAACAAGCGCGAAUCUCAGUUGAUGCUGGGAACAGAAGGGCUGGUGCUUUUGGAACUGGAGCUGGAAACCCCUCAAUGACUAUAAGGAACCUAAUACUUUCACCAAUAAAACGGCCCCAGCUCUCCCGUGGCCGUCCUAACAUGUUCACGUUGUAGGCUUGGCAUUGGAGGGCUUGCACCGCUAGUCACGCCAGACAGUACUACACAAUCUGAUUAAACACACAAAAGAAAGAAGAAAAAAGGAGGGGACACAUUAUCAUAGACUUGUAAUCCUAAUGUCUCCAAUUUGUUUGUUGUAAACCUACCACAUCAUUCCAUGCUGUGCCUUUAUAUUUUACAUGCAAAACCAACUUAAUGCAUCCUUCCUUUGGCACCUACUGUUCAUGUUUUUAAAAUUCUUCAGUUUAUAUAUGUUAAAUUCUCA
RNA transcript from Vitis riparia (riverbank grape), 1470 nucleotides. It is a transcript of the gene named E3 ubiquitin-protein ligase CCNB1IP1 homolog, with no coding region annotated. The transcript is spliced from 11 exons. NCBI's taxonomy places the organism in Eukaryota, Viridiplantae, Streptophyta, Magnoliopsida, Vitales, Vitaceae. The record is from RefSeq and is a predicted model, not a curated record.